GCGAACGGGUGAGUAACGCGUAGGUAACCUGCCUAUUAGUGGGGGAUAACUAUUGGAAACGAUAGCUUCACCGUUGAUAGUGUUUAACACAUGUUAGAGACUUAAAAGAUGCAAUUGCAUCACUAGUAGAUGGACCUGCGUUGUAUUAGCUAGUUGGUGGGGUAACGGCCUACCAAGGCGACGAUACAUAGCCGACCUGAGAGGGUGAUCGGCCACACUGGGACUGAGACACGGCCCAGACUCCUACGGGAGGCAKCAGUAGGGAAUCUUCGGCAAUGGGGGCAACCCUGACCGAGCAACGCCGCGUGAGUGAAGAAGGUUUUCGGAUCGUAAAGCUCUGUUGUAAGAGAAGAACGUGUGUGAGAGUGGAAAGUUCACACAGUGACGGUAACUUACCAGAAAGGGACGGCUAACUACGUGCCAGCAGCCGCGGUAAUACGUAGGUCCCGAGCGUUGUCCGGAUUUAUUGGGCGUAAAGCGAGCGCAGGCGGUUUAAUAAGUCUGAAGUUAAAGGCAGUGGCUUAACCAUUGUUCGCUUUGGAAA
RNAcentral lists this ribosomal RNA (544 nucleotides) under Streptococcus macedonicus. RNAcentral describes it as "bacterial SSU rRNA". Lineage: Bacteria; Bacillati; Bacillota; Bacilli; Lactobacillales; Streptococcaceae. The record is from RNAcentral.